UGGUGGAGUGAUUUGUCUGGUUAAUUCCGAUAACGAACGAGACCUCAGCCUGCUAACUAGUGGUGCGAAUCGCUCUACCAAAGGCUGGAGUGUGACGCCAUGGGCCUUCUUGUAGGGCGUGUGGUGGAUGCAUUCACCUGGAAUGAUUCGUAGACGACUUCUUAGAGGGACUAUUGGUUUUUAGCCAAUGGAAGUUUGAGGCAAUAACA
RNAcentral lists this ribosomal RNA (209 nucleotides) under uncultured eukaryote. RNAcentral's name for it is "partial 18S ribosomal RNA". It matches the Rfam family "Eukaryotic small subunit ribosomal RNA", at positions 1299 to 1458 of the family's 1831-position model. The record is from RNAcentral.